RNAcentral lists this transfer RNA (36 nucleotides) under Kikihia sp. 'aotea east'. RNAcentral describes it as "partial tRNA-Asp". The record is from RNAcentral. Lineage: Eukaryota; Metazoa; Arthropoda; Insecta; Hemiptera; Cicadidae.
AUCUGUCAGGUUUAUGAAACUUUUGAGUAUUUUUCU